Molecule: ribosomal RNA, 253 nt
Filed under: uncultured bacterium
Lineage: Bacteria
Description: partial 16S ribosomal RNA
Rfam family: Bacterial small subunit ribosomal RNA
Source: RNAcentral
UACAUAGGUCUCAAGCGUUGUUCGGAUUCAUUGGGCGUAAAGGGUGCGUAGGCGGCGCGGUAAGUCGGGUGUGAAAUCUCGGGGCUUAACUCCGAAACUGCAUUCGAUACUGCCGUGCUUGAGGACUGGAGAGGAGACUGGAAUUUACGGUGUAGCGGUGAAAUGCGUAGAUAUCGUAAGGAAGACCAGUGGCGAAGGCGGGUCUCUGGACAGUUCCUGACACUGAGGCACGAAGGCCAGGGGAGCAAACGGG